GACCAAUGUCAUAUUAAACCCUAUGAAGAACCCUAGAAUGGUAGGUCACUUAAAGAGGCUCUAAGCAGAUAUCCAUGUUUUGUUUCUAAAUACAUUAAAUAUGUUUCAAGAUAAGUACUGAAAACAUAUGCAAAGACUUAUAACAAUAUAGUGCUGAAUUGUUGAGAUAUACAGUAGCUUCAGCAUCUUUUACACUGUUUGAAUUAUUCCUGAUUUUGUGGGUGGGGCUAAAACACAGCCCCAUGACAUGACGGGGCUGGGGCGUAUACUUUCUAGCGCGAGUUCCCUCCCCCACUAUAUAAGGACAAAGUGCCAUUGUUUCGUUUGGCUGUGUCUUUGCUGGAUGCCUCAAUUUACAGAACCGGAAGUUUUUUAAGGUCCCAAAAAAUGAGGAAAUAAAAAGAGCGGUAACUUGAUACGAGUGAACGAGGCAGUGCCGACUCUCUAUCCACCUAGGCUUCCUCCUACUGUCCCGCUGUCGUCAGGUGCCGUGUUCGGCUGUGACAUUAUGUCACCAACAACGAGGAGAAUCAGGACAGGACAACACAUCCAUCCAUUUUCAACACCACUUAUUCUGUUCAGGCAAACUUCGGGCGAAAGGCGGACUACACCCUGAACCAGUCACCAGUCAGUCGCAGGGCACAUAUACACGCGGACAACCAUUCACACUCACACCGUCACUGAGUGGGAAUUGAAUCCACGCUGCCCGCACCAAAGUCUGGCGAGUGUACCAGUACACCAUCGGUAACUCCAGGACAACGCAUUAGCAGCAAAUCAUUCGUGGAGCCAACAAGAUCAAAUAUAAUGAUGCCAUGGACGGAGAAUAUCUUGCUUCUCCAAAUCUGUUUCCAUUGUUGUUGUUAUCUUUAUUGCUACUUCAUUCGUGAUCCUCCAUGUCACUGCUCUCCCUGUUUUUUCCCACCUUGCAAGACCCCAACAUUUUAAAUCGACUCAAGAGCUCA
Long non-coding RNA from Phyllopteryx taeniolatus (common seadragon), 962 nucleotides. RefSeq lists it as uncharacterized. The record is from RefSeq and is a predicted model, not a curated record. Lineage: Eukaryota; Metazoa; Chordata; Actinopteri; Syngnathiformes; Syngnathidae. The transcript has 2 exons.